RNAcentral lists this ribosomal RNA (457 nucleotides) under uncultured Bacteroidota bacterium. Its description in RNAcentral is "bacterial SSU rRNA". It matches the Rfam family "Bacterial small subunit ribosomal RNA", at positions 438 to 896 of the family's 1533-position model. Lineage: Bacteria; Pseudomonadati; Bacteroidota. The record is from RNAcentral.
CCAGAAGAAUAAAAUUUUGUACGUGUACGAAAUUGAAGGUAUUCUGGGAAUAAGCAUCGGCUAACUCCGUGCCAGCAGCCGCGGUAAUACGGAGGAUGCAAGCGUUAUCCGGAUUUAUUGGGUUUAAAGGGUGCGCAGGCGGAAUAGUAAGUCAGUGGUGAAAACCUGCAGCUUAACUGUAGAAUUGCCAUUGAUACUGUUAUUCUUGAGUAUGGUCAAGGUAGGCGGAAUGUGUAAUGUAGCGGUGAAAUGCUUAGAUAUUACACAGAACACCGAUUGCGAAGGCAGCUUGCUGGGCCAUUACUGACGCUCAUGCACGAAAGCGUGGGGAUCGAACAGGAUUAGAUACCCUGGUAGUCCACGCCGUAAACGAUGAUCACUCGCUGUUAGCGAUACACUGUUAGCGGCUAAGCAAAAGCAUUAAGUGAUCCACCUGGGGAGUACGGCCGCAAGGCUG